UUUAAAAUAUAAGUAUGUCUCAUGCAAUAUUUAGGAGAUACUUACACUAAAA
Molecule: microRNA precursor, 52 nt
Filed under: Pteropus alecto (black flying fox)
Lineage: Eukaryota; Metazoa; Chordata; Mammalia; Chiroptera; Pteropodidae
Description: mir-1302 microRNA precursor family
Rfam family: mir-1302 microRNA precursor family
Source: Rfam by way of RNAcentral